GACGAACGCUGGCGGCGUGCUUAACACAUGCAAGUCGAACGAAGUGGCGAACGGGUGAGUAACGCGUAAUCAACCUGCCCUGCAGAGGGGGACAACUGGUAGAAACGACUGCUAAUGCCACAUACUGAAGGAGGGGAUUGCGGCUGAUUAGCUAGUUGGCGGGGUAACGGCCAACCAAGGCCAUGAUCAGUAGCCGGUCUGAGAGGAUGAACGGCCACAUUGGGACUGAGACACGGCCCAGACUCCUACGGGAGGCAGCAGUGGGGAAUCUUCCGCAAUGGACGAAAGUCUGACGGAGCAACGCCGCGUGAGUGAUGACGGCCUUCGGGUUGUAAAGCUCUGUUAAUCGGGACGCGGUACCGGAAUAGAAAGCCACGGCUAACUACGUGCCAGCAGCCGCGGUAAUUC
Molecule: ribosomal RNA, 408 nt
Filed under: uncultured bacterium
Lineage: Bacteria
Description: partial 16S ribosomal RNA
Rfam family: Bacterial small subunit ribosomal RNA
Source: RNAcentral